CUCAGGUUACUGGGAACCUUCAUCAGACACCCAAGACAGCAUCUCACUCUGUGGCCCAGGCUGGAGUGUGGUGGCACUAUCACAGUUCAUUACAGCCUCAACGUCUCGGACUCAGAUGAUCCUGCCACCUCAAUCUCCCAAGUAGUUGGGACCACAGAAGUGAUUCAGCACUCAGGAUUAUUGCCCACACCCCUACGAUUGCACCCCCAAGCAAUCACCAGCAAGCACCCAAUGCCUAGCCAUCCCCACCCCUUCCCCCAAACUACCUUUGAAAAACCCCUAACCUACCAGCCUUCAAUGAGAUUGAUUUGAGUAAUAACUCCAUCUCCAGUGUGGAGUGGCCAGCCUCACAUCAAUUAAACUCUUUCUUUACUGCAAUGCUAUGGUCUUUGUUUGUGCAGCAGGCAGGAAGAACUCCUCAGGCAGUUACACUUCGAGCCUUAAGACACCUUGAUGUCAGACUUCCAGUGCCCUGAAUUGUGACAGAAUAAAUUUCUGUUGUUUUAAAA
RNAcentral lists this long non-coding RNA (509 nucleotides) under Homo sapiens (human). RNAcentral's name for it is "HSALNT0394772". Lineage: Eukaryota; Metazoa; Chordata; Mammalia; Primates; Hominidae. The record is from RNAcentral.